Molecule: non-coding RNA, 45 nt
Filed under: Schistosoma bovis
Lineage: Eukaryota; Metazoa; Platyhelminthes; Trematoda; Strigeidida; Schistosomatidae
Also listed under: 1 other name
Source: RNAcentral
AUUGAGAUGAUGAGUCCCAAAUAGGACGUAAUGGACGUUCUGAAU